RNAcentral lists this ribosomal RNA (312 nucleotides) under uncultured eukaryote. RNAcentral describes it as "partial 18S ribosomal RNA". It matches the Rfam family "Eukaryotic small subunit ribosomal RNA", at positions 1470 to 1796 of the family's 1831-position model. The record is from RNAcentral.
CCCUUAGAUGUCCUGGGCCGCACGCGCGCUACACUGAUGAAUUCAACGAGCACUAACCUGUGCAGAAAUGUUCGGGUAAUCUUGUGAAAUUUCAUCGUGAUGGGGAUUGAUUAUUGCAAUUAUUAAUCAUAAACGAGGAAUGCCUAGUAAGCGUGAGUCAUCAGCUCACGCUGAUUACGUUCCUGCCCUUUGUACACACCGCCCGUCGCUCCUACCGAUUGGGUGAGCCGAUGAAACUCUCGGAUGUAGGCUAUUCAUAGCCCGCAGAAGAGAUUUGAAUCGUAGCGCUUAGAGGAAGGAGAAGUCGUAACA